GUGCUCGCUUUGGCAGCACAUAGACUAAAACUGGAGCAAUACAGAGAAGAUUAGCAUGGCCCCAGCAAAGAUAUGACAUGCAUAUUUGUGAAACGUUUUAUAUUUUU
This is a small nuclear RNA of Cebus imitator (Panamanian white-faced capuchin), 107 nucleotides long. The record is from RefSeq and is a predicted model, not a curated record. Lineage: Eukaryota; Metazoa; Chordata; Mammalia; Primates; Cebidae.